This 1244-nucleotide long non-coding RNA is filed under the name Pan troglodytes (chimpanzee). RNAcentral describes it as "lincRNA". The record is from RNAcentral. Lineage: Eukaryota; Metazoa; Chordata; Mammalia; Primates; Hominidae.
AUUCAUUUAACAAAUACUUUGGAGUGUUUACCAUGUGCCAAGUGCUGUUCUAAUAGACAUAAGCUGUGAGGUUAUGCUUAUCUGAUUCUCACAGCAACAGCUUUCGAGAUAUUAAUUGGUAUACUCAUUUGACAGAUGAGGAAAUUGAAUUCAUGUAGUGAGAAAGGAAGAGCUGGAAUUCAGGGUUACUGGUUUCUCCUGCACUAAGCACUGAGCCACACUAGAAGAGAAGGCAUGAGGAAGACAAAAGUGAGAAGGCACUCAGGAAAUAUUAGUUGCAUGAACGAAGGCUGCAUUUUCAUUAGAACAACAUGCAGUUCAACCCCUUCAUGUUUCAAUGAGGGUUCAGAUACCCAGAGGGCUAUGCUAUCAUCCUGGAGCCCACUCUGCUAACAAUUAGCAGAACGGAAGCCUUAAUUUCCAGAAUCUAGUGAACUUGAUGAGUCAAGACUAUUGCAAUUGGAAAUCUGUUCUCCUCUGCUGCUGCAUUCCCUGCUUAAUACUCAAGCCAGAAACCAGGAAGGCUGUGGCUUGCCUUUUCACUUCUUGUGUCCUGUUUAAGAAAUAUCUACUAUCCCAAGCAUCUGGCAUCUUUCUUGACACAUGUAGCAGUUGCUUUUUGACAGCUUGCUUCUUCAGUGAAUGAAUAAAUUAAUAAAGAGAAAUGUGAUGUUCAGUGAUCCAUUUUGCAGAUUGCAAACUCCUAGAGAAGGGCUCAACAGUGAGUGCUGAGGCUGCACAGAGGAGGAAGGCAGCACAAUGAUGGAAGGCUUCCUAAAGAGGCUCUUGAGUUUCUGCUUUCAAGUGACCCUCAGAAAUUCCCCCAUUCACUGCAGAGGUUCUGUUUCUCCUUGCUUUGUUCUGACUUUACGGCAGAACUAAGCUGAUGAGUUAGUUACUAUGGGUUAUCACUUGGAUUUGAAGAACCAUCAUUUCUAGGCAUUGCUGCUCAGAGUGGGUCUGCCCUCAGGGGAAGCUGUCUAACCAGAGCCUAACCCACUAGGGUUUUAUCAGAACCUAACUGACCUGAGGAAAAGAAAUAUUCAACUCCAGCAAGCUCCAGCCUUCCAAAUGGAGGAGAAGAAAACCCAACUCCAGCCCACUUCAGCUAUCUUGUCCCACAUAAAGGGGAAGUGGAAGAAACCUGAGAAGCAGGCAUGAAGUUCACAGUCCAGAGGUACAGACACAUCAGAGUUCAGUAUCUGAUGAAUUAGAUGCAAAAACCUCAACAAAGUAUUAGCAAA